This is a long non-coding RNA of Nymphaea colorata (pocket water lily), 886 nucleotides long. RefSeq lists it as uncharacterized. Lineage: Eukaryota; Viridiplantae; Streptophyta; Magnoliopsida; Nymphaeales; Nymphaeaceae. The transcript is spliced from 3 exons. The record is from RefSeq and is a predicted model, not a curated record.
CCUUGUCUCUCUUCUUAAUUCUCUCAGAUUGGCAUGGCGUGGUGGAUGUGCAUCUUGAUAGCUCUGAUGCCAUUUCUUUCUAUCACACUCUCUCUAUCCAUCUCUCUUCUGUCUCUGUCCCUCUCCCUUUGUUUCUAUAAGUCGGUUGCACGCCAUGUUACACUUUUAUGCCUUCUUUUUCACUCAUUCUCUCCUCAUCGUCUAUGUUUUGUGUUUUCGUUACCUUUGUAACUUCUCCUCCCCUCAUCUUCCAUUGUUCUUCGCCUACAAGUACAUCCAGAAGCCUGUUGUUCGUCAGACUGGAGGAUCCUAAUAUGAUUGGUGCAUGGUAAAGCCCUAAUCAAUUGUGACCGACCUUUCUUCCUGGACCCUCUAUCUUUGUCAUCGCAUGAAUUGUUAUUGCGGGGUGGUUAAAGGAUCAUCGAUUGCCCUUAUUUUAGGUUCUAUGCCUACAACAAAGAUGGUGAUACACAUGUGAAGGCUAUUGACAUGAUAACGGAUGGCUGCCACAAACUCCAUGAUCUUUGUCAACCUUCCACCUUCACAGUGGGUGUCAUGGUUGACAUGUAAACUUGCUGAUCCAUAGUUUUGGAGGACCCGAGGCAGCACGUUGAUAAGAUGACUUCACUCACAUCUUACUAGGGAGGUUUUGGGUCUUUUGUAGUGCCGGCGCAUCACGAUUUGGUCUCUUCGAUGUCAUGUCUUUGUUAGGCAUCAAAGUUGCAGUUUGAGGCAUUUUUGUCAUAUGUGUUAACGUAAUUUUUGUAUGAAUGAAGUUGAUUAUAUAAUGAAAAGUUGCCCUAUUGUUUUGAAUUGCAUAAGUCAUUUCUUUUUGAAUUGUUGUGUCGUCGCACCUCAAUGUUUUAUGUUUAGAAUUUUUUUUUUA